Molecule: non-coding RNA, 3910 nt
Organism: Aegilops tauschii subsp. strangulata
Lineage: Eukaryota; Viridiplantae; Streptophyta; Magnoliopsida; Poales; Poaceae
Source: RefSeq, a predicted model, not a curated record
AUGAAAAUAUUUGCUUCGUCCUCCGGCACCGGCCAAGCAGACUCCACAUCCAAUCGCCCACGCCUCCUCUCGACCCAGGCACAUCGCAUCCUUCCCUCACCCCUGCCGCCUCUAUGCCACUCCUAACCCUUUCUCUUCUCAAUCCGGCUCCAUGGAGGUGGCCGGCAGGGAGGACGAGGAUGUGGAGGAGGGCGCUGCCGAUGGCGCCAGAAGCAGCUCGACAAGAACCACCGUCACGCGGAGGCAAGUCGCCAUCGACACGGCCUCUUCGUCUGCGCCAUCAAGGGCCAACAGCUCCAGAUCCGGGAGCAUCUUCCCGGAGGCGGAGCCGGCGACUCCUGAUGCACCUGGUGAUGGCCGGGGUAGCGAUCCAGUCGACCUUCUGGAUGUUGGCUUCCUCACUAUGCUGCAACCACCUCCUCCGCAGGUGGACGAGUGCUACGAGCCGGCAGUUCCUGAAAAUUUUCUUGCAACCGGUUGAGGUUUUUCUCUGACCAUUCCUCCGAGAUUCCGGUUUUUUUUAACACUGUUUGUGAAAAGAGAGGUGAGAAAGGAAGUGCUGGACUAGCUGUUGCGAUGGGGAUUAAUUCAAAAGAUUAGAGGAGAUAAGUCAGCAAAGAUUUAGGUGAUGUUCCUGCUGCUAAUGUGUAUGCGACUGAAAAGUCAGAGGGUAGAAGAGAAAAUUUUGCUGCUAAUGCAUAUACAAAGAGAGAGGGUUGAUGUUGCUAUUUUGUUCCCUAUUAGAAUUGGUCGCUCUAUGGGAUUCUUAUCGCAUUUUCUUGAUCUGGGGUGAUUUUGUGUCCUUUUAACUGAUGCAUGUCGUGUGUGGGUUCUGUGGGGAUUCCACCAUUAGCAGAAAGAUCAAGGCAAUGUGAUAACUUUAUGAGGACAUAUUUUGUGUCUAAAUCUGCUGAGUUAUAUGAUGUGUAACAUGGCAGUGUUGCUGAAUGGAAGGAGGUAAUUUGCUUGCUCUUUCUAAAUUUGUUGGUUUCUUCAUGCUAUAUUGAUUAAUAUUGUAAUAUUUAAUAUUGUUUUGUCGGCUCCCUUGUUGUUGUGAUCUUCGUGUUGAAAAGGCAGUACGAACACUCGAUUAGAGGAUCCUGCUAGGCCUCUCUACCUCAUAGAAUUUGAUAUGGGUUGCCUUGUUCCUCUCAUUCUUAUUCUUCUCAGAAUUUAGGGUUGGGCGUUGAACAUACAUGCACAGGUUGGUUUCAGUUUUCUGUGUAAACUGAAGCAGGGGAUAAGUCAAUAUACAUAUGUCGUGUUCCAGAUUAGAAAUUAAGAGAAGAGAGAGAGAAACGAUUGGUUAGUAAAAUAUGUAGCUGCAAGUUUACAUAGUGGAAUUGCUGACCAAAGUUUUUCUCUAAUGUACAUUUCGGAAAUUCCUAAUACUUAAAACUUGUUUUUCAGCCCGUUUUCUGUCAUCAGAAAAUACAAAUAGCAUUUUUUUAAUCAGUUAACAGUAUGAACAGUCAGCUAACAAUACAAAUAUGGUAGCAUUUUUCAGCCUAUUACUUACUGAAUGCGAGUCAUUGGCAUUUUUUCAGUCGGUUAACAAACAGUUUUUCAGUUAGUUAACAAAUAGCAACACUUCAGAAGCUUUUUUAGAUAAGCUACAGAGAUAAGCAACAGUUUUUCAAUCAGUUAACAAACAGCAGCACAACAGUUUUUCAGUCACCUGAUCUUUGUCCAAUUUUUUCUCGCUUGUUAAAGGUCACCAUUGUAUUCGACCUGGGAACCUACAUACAGAUUUUCAUCUAUGAUAUUUCAGCAUCUUCUAUGCUUCCAAUCUGUUAAUUUAAUUUUACUUAUAAACGGCACAACCUUCCCUUCUCCUUUUUCGUGUGUAGAAUUGAUGAUUGAUGUAGUUUCACUGAAUCAAAAUACUGAUGCCUUUUCCCUUCUCCUUGACAGCUUUGCGAGAGCUAGGAAAGUAUUGGUGGAAUCUCAUGAAGAAGAGAGACAGAUAAUGUUUGAGGUGAAUUCCUUCACCUGCCCUGCUUAUGGGAAAUUCUGCAAUGAUGCCCAGCGGCACACCACUCUCAAGUCUGAGAUGAAUUCCUUCACCAGAGGUUCUCCUUCGUGAGCUACGUCAGCGCUCAGAAGGCAUGCAUCGAAGCCCUUGACGGCUGGUUGUCCAAGUUCAUCCUAACAGACACCAUUUGUUACUCCCGGGGGAUCUCCUUGAUUGCGCCCGACAGGGCUGGCACGCCGCCUCUGGUGGUGAUCAUGAGUGGCACACCAUGCUGUCGACGACUGGAUCGAUCCUCCUCACUAGUGACUCCGGCAUAGGACUUGGCGAUGGGGAGAGGUCGUUCAGCGCUGCGGAGAGCUGGUGCCAAGAACUAACUGUUGAUAUGUGGAAUCAUAUUUAUUAAAUAAUUAUCAGUUUGACUUAUUCGCUUGUAUUCAAACUGUACUGCAUUUUUGUUUGAGUCAUGUUUUUUCAUGUUCAUGAUAGUUCUUAUAUACUGUGCUUCUCAUAAUUUGGGUGGGACUUUUUAUAGAGGUAACCUUUGGUAUUAUUGAGUGGUUUUCAACUAAUUUGUGAAAGCAAUUGGUUUUGUUUUCCGUAAUCAGAUGUAGAAUUUGCAUAGUAGAAGGUAUCAAAGCGAUGCAUAUAUUGUGAAAUGUGUCUAUCUAGCUGGUCUUAGUUUCAGCUAGAUAACUUUAUGUUCAUUGAUCCUGAGUAUAAUGGCUUUGUGUUUUUUUGUCCUGCUGUAAGCAAUUCUUUAUUGUGUGGAGUUUGUCAGUAUAAUUACUUGAUGAAUUUGGUUAUUUUUCAACAGAUAGCUGAAGAAGAUUAGGUGAUUUGGCAAUUCAAUUGCUGAAAAUGUUGCAUGCAAUGGAGAGCCAUAUAAGUGUGCUUGCAGUGUCUACUAUUGAUUCUAUGCAUCGUUCAGUUCAAAAGAGUAUAGGACAGCAUAAAAAGGACAGUGGAAGGGACGCCACCUACCUGGCACCGCAAAGCUUCCGCUCAGGCGACGCAUCAGGGGUGUGCCUCCGUGUCCAUGUCGGUAGCCUGCACUGUGCGGGCGAGUCAGAUUUUUACCGUGGAGAAAAAAAUGCAGCAAGUGCGGGCGACUUCCUCUUAGUGUUACUAUAAAACUUAUUGGGCAAUCAUAUUUAAUUGUUGAAUGUGUUUAAUCUGGUUGGGAAUAAUCCACUACCUAAGGGGAUCAAGAUCUCCGAAAUAUUAUUGUUUGUUCAAAGGUUGUUUGUUCUGUUAUCAGUUAGAAAUUCUAUUGCAAGUUCACAUGUUCAUCAGCAAUUAGAGAAAAAAGGGGUGAACGGGUCGCUUAUCAAUUUGGCACCGCACAAACUUCCUCUCAAGAGGCGCCACCUCGUGGCGCCCCAACCCCUGGUCUAUAUAGUAAGGGUAACCACCCCUUGGUGGUUUUGGGGGGUUUUAAUGAAAUUUUAUACCCAUCGGAAAAAGAGGGUGGUAUGGCUAGACCACUUGGUAUGAUGAGAGAAUUCGGUGAAUGUCUAAUGGAUUGUGGGCUAGAGGACCUAGGCUAUAAGGGCGACCUGUUCACUUGGAAGAGAGGCGAAAUACGUGAACGCGUGAAUGUCUUGAUCGAGCGGUCUGUAAUAUAGCGUGGGCAAAAAAAUUCCCAUGAGCGGCAGUGAUCAAUGAAGAACAUGUUCAUUCUGAUCAUCGCCCAAUUGUACUGGAUACAGAUUACUUAGAUGAAAAAUCUUUAAACAACCAGAGGGGCGUGUUAAACAGUUUGAGGCGAGGUGGUUGAAGGAAGAAACGGUCACUGAAAUUGUUAAGGCACCGUGGGAGAAAGCAAAACUUGCAGGUAUUGGACCCUCACUUGUUGAUCGUACAAGAGCAGUGCAUGCCGAUCUGCAUAACUGGGACCGGGAAACUCUGAAGGGACCAAAGGUCAGAAUUAGGAAA